UCCCGCUUAUCACGGGCAGUUUCCUUAGAGUUCCCACCAUUACGUGCUGGCAACAAAGGAUAAGGGUUGCGCUCGUUGCGGGACUUAACCCAACAUCUCACGACACGAGCUGACGACAGCCAUGCAGCACCUGUGCACCGUCCAGCCGAACUGAAGGAGUCCGUUUCCGGACCCCGCGACGGGCAUGUCAAAGCCUGGUAAGGUUCUUCGCGUUGCCUCGAAUUAAACCACAUGUUCCACCGCUUGUGCGGGUCCCCGUCAAUUCCUUUGAGUUUUAAUCUUGCGACCGUACUCCCCAGGCGGGGUGCUUAACGCGUUAACUACGCCACCGGAAGUAACUCCCGACGGCUAGCACCCAUCGUUUACAGCGUGGACUAC
This 378-nucleotide unclassified non-coding RNA is filed under the name uncultured Rickettsiales bacterium. RNAcentral describes it as "contains 16S-23S intergenic spacer region". Lineage: Bacteria; Pseudomonadati; Pseudomonadota; Alphaproteobacteria; Rickettsiales. The record is from RNAcentral.